GCAUCACGAGGGUUACACUGUCUCCUUUUUCUAAUCAGUGAAACUAAUCUUCCCGUGAAGAAGCGGGAAUAUCCCCAUAAGACGAGAAGACCCCAUGGAGCUUCAAACCCAAUUACACCCCUAACCCCUAUAACUACUUAACCCUUAGGAUUCUGUAUUAUUGGUUUUAGGUUGGGGCGACCACGGAGUACAACAAAACCUCCACAAUGAACGGAACUACUUCCUCAUCUGAGAGCUACACCUCUAAGAAUUAAAAUAUUAACAUAAAAUGAUCCAUUUUUGAUCAAUGAACCAAGUUACCCUGGGGAUAACAGCGCAAUCCAUUUCAAGAGCCCCUAUCGACAAAUGGGUUUACGACCUCGAUGUUGGAUCAGGGUAUCCUGGUGGUGCAGCAGCUAC
This 399-nucleotide ribosomal RNA is filed under the name Mantidactylus katae. Its description in RNAcentral is "partial 16S ribosomal RNA". It matches the Rfam family "Bacterial large subunit ribosomal RNA", at positions 1999 to 2565 of the family's 2925-position model. The record is from RNAcentral. Lineage: Eukaryota; Metazoa; Chordata; Amphibia; Anura; Mantellidae.